UACAGAGGGUGCAAGCGUUAAUCGGAAUUACUGGGCGUAAAGCGUGCGUAGCCGGUUAUGUAAGUCGGGUGUGAAAGCCCCGGGCUCAACCUGGGAAUGCCAUUCGAGACUGCAUAGCUAGGGUGCGGAAGAGGGAAGCGGAAUUCCCGGUGUAGCGGUGAAAUGCGCAGAUAUCAGGAGGAACACCGAUGGCGAAGGCAGCUCACUGGGACGGUACUGACGCUGAGACGCGAAAGCGUGGGGAGCAAACAGG
This 253-nucleotide ribosomal RNA is filed under the name uncultured bacterium. RNAcentral's name for it is "partial 16S ribosomal RNA". It matches the Rfam family "Bacterial small subunit ribosomal RNA", at positions 524 to 776 of the family's 1533-position model. The record is from RNAcentral.